Molecule: ribosomal RNA, 493 nt
Filed under: uncultured bacterium
Lineage: Bacteria
Description: partial 16S ribosomal RNA
Rfam family: Bacterial small subunit ribosomal RNA
Source: RNAcentral
AUUGAACGCUGGCGGCAUGCCUUACACAUGCAAGUCGAACGGUAACAGGUUAAGCUGACGAGUGGCGAACGGGUGAGUAAUAUAUCAGAACGUGCCCAGUCGUGGGGGAUAACGUAGCGAAAGCUACGCUAAUACCGCACACGAUCCACGGAUGAAAGCGGGGGAUCGCAAGACCUCGCGCGAUUGGAGCGGCCAAUAUCAGAUUAGGUUGUUGGUGAGGUAAAAGCUCACCAAGCCUGCGAUCUGUAGCUGGUCUGAGAGGACGACCAGCCACACUGGAACUGAGACACGGUCCAGACGCCUACGGGAGGCAGCAGUGGGGAAUUUUGGACAAUGGACGCAAGUCUGAUCCAGCAAUGCCGCGUGCAGGACGAAGGCCUUCGGGUUGUAAACUGCUUUUGUACGGAACGAAACGGUGAGCUCUAAUACAGUUUGCUAAUGACGGUACCGUAAGAAUAAGCACCGGCUAACUACGUGCCAGCCGCCGCAGUAA